CUUGGAACUUGGCCUUGAAGGAGCUCCGGCUUGGGACCUUGGACUGCUCUUUAAUUUUCCCUUACAACUACUACAUGGGAAUAUUUUAUUGAAGAACUUAGAAACUCUAGGAAUUAGGAUUAUUUAACCAAGAGAAGAAAAGGCUGAAGGAGCUCUUGACAGUUAUCAAACAUCUAAAGGGAUGUCCAUCUUGUUCUGUCUGGCCCAAGAGAAAAAUCAGGAUGAGUAGGAAGGUGUCAAGAGGCAAAUUUAUACUUGAUGGUCAAGAAAAACUUGCUAGCAAAUAGAGCUGUCCCAAAGAGAAAUGGGCCACCUUGGAGGGAAAUGGCUUCUUCAUCCCCCUUGGAAGUCUUUAAGCAAUGGCUAAAAGACCAUUCUCAGGGAGGAGGACUAUGAAGGUUCUAGUAUUCCCUACACAUCGUGGCCCGGGAUCAGACCAAUCAGUGUGGUUGGCAUCUCCAGGAACAUGUGUAAAGGCAGAAUCAGCUGGCAGCAUCAGUAUUCCAGACUAGGGUCCCGAAAACAGGUCCAGAAGCAGGGUUUCUCUUCUAGCAAGACACAUGCCAGCAAGACACCCUGGCUCUGAGGUUCUCUGGAAAUCCUCUAUAAAUACUUCAUAGGUGUGGUUGGGAAAUUACCUUAACCACACGUUUCAAGCGUGUUCAGCUGGCAUAUCAGAUUGAGGGCCCUAGUUCAGUCCUGUUCUCCUUUGGAGUGAGGGAGGGGACCCAUUCAGCUGCAGCAGCCAAACUCUCAGAGGGUUUGUUUUCCCCAUUCCUACUCUGCCCAUUUCAGCUUCACAGUCACUUCCAAAUGACUUCCAGAUGAUUUCUGGUUACCAGGGGAAUAGAGAACAUUUGUGCCAUUUAUAAAUAUAGCAAUGGUCACAUAGACAUCAUUAGUGAAUAAUCAAAUAAAGUAUAAAUUUCCAGGAAAAGAAAAGGCCCUUUGGGGGGUAAUCUCAGGAAAAAGACACAAGAAAUGUUUUGUUUUGUUUUUUAAUAUUUACCUAAACAUAAAAAAAAAAUAUUCUCCAUUGUCUGGCUAAUAAUGGGAAGAACUUGAAUGCCAGGCAAAAGUCCUGAAUUCUUUACCACACCUUUGUGGCUUUGGGAAAGUCCUGUAAUGACUCUGGGCUUCACAAUCUUCCUCUGGAAAGGGAGGCUGGACCUCCAAGUGUACAAUGAUAAUAAUAAUAGCUCACAAUCAUAGAAUGCCAUAAGAUUUACAAAACACAAAACCUAUUAUUUCAUGGAACAGUGAAUAAAGAGUUGGCCUUGGAGUCAGAAAGACCCUUGGACCGACUUCCUCCUUGGACAGAUGGCUGUGUGACCCAAGAUAAGUCAUUUAACCUCUUGCUUACCCCAGGCAACUCUCUAGGACUAUAAACUAUGGAGAAUCUGCCACUUUACCUUGAAAGUUUUUAUCUAUACCAGCAAAAUCAGGUCAGAAAAAAAAUCUUAUAAAAUAACAUGUUCUGAGAAUCUUUAUUUCUAAGUAAUAAUAAAAAAAAAUAC
Molecule: non-coding RNA, 1517 nt
Organism: Monodelphis domestica (gray short-tailed opossum)
Lineage: Eukaryota; Metazoa; Chordata; Mammalia; Didelphimorphia; Didelphidae
Source: RefSeq, a predicted model, not a curated record